CAGUCGCCACGGUAAUACGAGGGGGGCAAGCGUUGUUCGGAAUUAUUGGGCGUAAAGGGUGCGUAGGCGGUUUGGCAAGUUUGGUGUGAAAUCUUCGGGCUCAACUCGAAGUCUGCAUCGAAAACUGCCGGGCUUGAGUAUGGGAGAGGUGAGUGGAAUUUCCGGUGUAGCGGUGAAAUGCGUAGAUAUCGGAAGGAACACCUGUGGCGAAAGCGGCUCACUGGACCAUAACUGACGCUGAUGCACGAAAGCUAGGGGAGCAAACAGGAUUAGAUACCCGAGUAGUCCCUGUCUCUUAUAC
This 301-nucleotide ribosomal RNA is filed under the name uncultured bacterium. Its description in RNAcentral is "partial 16S ribosomal RNA". It matches the Rfam family "Bacterial small subunit ribosomal RNA", at positions 509 to 807 of the family's 1533-position model. The record is from RNAcentral.